This 253-nucleotide ribosomal RNA is filed under the name uncultured Eubacteriales bacterium. Its description in RNAcentral is "uncultured Clostridiales bacterium partial 16S ribosomal RNA". It matches the Rfam family "Bacterial small subunit ribosomal RNA", at positions 524 to 776 of the family's 1533-position model. The record is from RNAcentral. Lineage: Bacteria; Bacillati; Bacillota; Clostridia; Eubacteriales.
UACGUAGGGGGCAAGCGUUAUCCGGAUUUACUGGGUGUAAAGGGAGCGUAGACGGCGAUGCAAGCCAGAUGUGAAAGCCCGGGGCUCAACCCUGGGACUGCUUUUGAAACUGCCGGGCUGGAGUGCAGGAGAGGUAAGCGGAAUUCCUAGUGUAGCGGUGAAAUGCAUAGAUAUUAGGAGGAACACCAGUGGCGAAGGCGAUUUGCUGGACUGUAACUGACACUGAGGCACGAAAGCGUGGGGAGCAAACAGG